CCCUUAGAUGUUCUGGGCUGCACGCGCGCUACACUGAAGCUAUCAACACGUUUUCCCUCCCUGAGAAGGGCGGGUAACCUUUUGAAUCAGCUUCGUGGUAGGGAUCGGGGCUUGCAAUUGUUCCCCGUGAACCAGGAAUUCCUAGUAGACGCGAGUCAUAAGCUCGCAUCGAUUAAGUCCCUGCCCUUUGUACACACCGCCCGUCGCACCUACCGAUUGAACGGUCCGGUGAAAUCUUGGGAUUUGCUUUGCUUUCGUUUGUUCGAUGCUCGGCGAAGAACUUGAGUAAACCUUACCGUUUAGAGGAAGGUGAAGUCGUAACA
Molecule: ribosomal RNA, 323 nt
Filed under: uncultured eukaryote
Lineage: Eukaryota
Description: partial 18S ribosomal RNA
Rfam family: Eukaryotic small subunit ribosomal RNA
Source: RNAcentral